GACUGGUUCCUAAGCGAAGUAGCCUUAAAGCUUAGAGAGGUUCUUAAGAGUUUCCUUGAUACUCUAAGGUUUUGCCAUUACCUUUAGGCGAGUGAAUUCCGGCAGUUGGUCGGGACUGGACUAGCCCUUGUUUGGGUGAACCAGUAUAAAUCUCUUGUGUUGUUCUCUGUUAAUUAUAGUUUUAUCUCUUAUUUAAAAAACAACACUUAAUUAAAAAGAUCCCUCUUCCAGUUAUCUGGUCAAACACAGAGGUUGACUACUUUACGCAGAUCCCUCAUCCAGUUAUCUGGUCAACUAUCUGAGGUUAUAUUCAUUGCUUUAAAUCCUUAUAUUUGUUCAAGUAUUACUUAUCAUAUUUAUCCAGUUAUCUGGUCACUUACUUGUUUAUCAACUUAUCCAGUUAUCUGGUCACUUACUUGUUUAUCAAUAUAUCCAGUUAUCUGGUCAUUUACUUGCGUAUCAAUAUAUCCAGUUAUCUGGUCAUUUACUCUACAAUACAAUUUGUGUUUCCAAUAUAACUUAGUAUUCAUAUACUAUAAUUGUGUGUAAAACACUAUCAAGCAAGUUGACUCAGUAUUCAUAUACUGUAGUAAGCUUCGAAGAGUAAUACUUACAUUAUUAUAUCAAUCAAAAUCAUAAUAUCCUUAUAUCAUUACUGUUCAACCAUUUGUUUAUUAAGCAUUUACAGGUAAUUCCGCAAUCAACCUGUAUAAAUCGAAAAUAGGCUAUUACCCCCCCUUAUAGCCUCGGAUCACGAUCCAUCAAGUGGUAUCAGAGCCAAGUUCCGUUGAAGUCAGACUAACAUCUUACAACAACAACUAUGGCUUCAAAUGGUGAAAACAGUACUGGUCUUGCAUCGAACAAACCUCCCAGGUUCGAUGGAGUAAAGUAUGACUUCUGGA
Molecule: long non-coding RNA, 902 nt
Filed under: Zostera marina
Lineage: Eukaryota; Viridiplantae; Streptophyta; Magnoliopsida; Alismatales; Zosteraceae
Description: long non-coding RNA (ZMAR_LNC002754)
Source: RNAcentral